CCUACGGGAGGCAGCAGUGGGGAAUAUUGGACAAUGGGCGAAAGCCUGAUCCAGCAAUGCCGCGUGAGUGAUGAAGGCCUUCGGGUCGUAAAGCUCUUUUACCAGGGAUGAUAAUGACAGUACCUGGAGAAUAAGCUCCGGCUAACUCCGUGCCAGCAGCCGCGGUAAUACGGAGGGAGCUAGCGUUGUUCGGAAUUACUGGGCGUAAAGAGUACGUAGGCGGUUAUUCAAGUCAGAGGUGAAAGCCCGGGGCUCAACCCCGGAACUGCCUUUGAAACUAGAUAGCUAGAGUCUUGGAGAGGUUAGUGGAAUUCCGAGUGUAGAGGUGAAAUUCGUAGAUAUUCGGAAGAACACCAGUGGCGAAGGCGACUAACUGGACAAGUACUGACGCUGAGGUACGAAAGCGUGGGGAGCAAACAGGAUUAGAUACCCUGGUAGUCCACGCCGUAAACGAUGAUAACUAGUUGUUCGGUCACUUGGUGACUGAGUGACGCAGCUAACGCAUUAAGUUAUCCGCCUGGGGAUACGGUCGCAAGNUUAAAACUCAAAGGAAUUGACGGCUGAGAGNGCGAGACGACGACGAGGAGAGG
This 590-nucleotide ribosomal RNA is filed under the name uncultured bacterium. RNAcentral describes it as "bacterial SSU rRNA". It matches the Rfam family "Bacterial small subunit ribosomal RNA", at positions 338 to 946 of the family's 1533-position model. The record is from RNAcentral.